GCCCUGCUGACGGAACUGGCAGACGUACCGGGCUCAAACCUCGGGUUUUCCGAGUUCGACUCUCGGGUGGGGCACCA
This 77-nucleotide transfer RNA is filed under the name Mesorhizobium phage Cp1R7A-A1. RNAcentral's name for it is "tRNA-Leu". The record is from RNAcentral. Lineage: Duplodnaviria; Heunggongvirae; Uroviricota; Caudoviricetes.